RNAcentral lists this small RNA (158 nucleotides) under pig gut metagenome. RNAcentral describes it as "Clostridiales-1 RNA". It matches the Rfam family "Clostridiales-1 RNA". The record is from RNAcentral.
UAGGGUCAAAAAUUACAAUUCGUUCCUGCUUGCAGGAUAAGAAUUGUGAUUAAUUGACCCGCCCACACAUGAGCAAGUAGUGAUUUUCGGUAGAAAAUCAACGGAUUGCGAAUGGGUGGGGAAUUGCGAGAGCUGCUUGGCAGCGGAGCAAUUCGUAU